AUACGGAGGGUGCAAGCGUUAAUCGGAAUUACUGGGCGUAAAGCGUACGUAGGCGGUUAUUUAAGUCAGAUGUGAAAGCCCCGGGCUUAACUUGGGAACUGCAUUUGAAACUGGGUAACUAGAGUUUAGUAGAGGGGAGUGGAAUUUCAGGUGUAGCGGUGAAAUGCGUAGAGAUCUGAAGGAACACCAGUGGCGAAGGCGACUCCCUGGACUAAAACUGACGCUGAGGUACGAAAGCGUGGGUAGCAAACAGGAUUAGAAACCCUAGUAGUCCC
This 275-nucleotide ribosomal RNA is filed under the name uncultured bacterium. RNAcentral describes it as "partial 16S ribosomal RNA". It matches the Rfam family "Bacterial small subunit ribosomal RNA", at positions 523 to 797 of the family's 1533-position model. The record is from RNAcentral.